Molecule: long non-coding RNA, 181 nt
Organism: Lutra lutra (Eurasian river otter)
Lineage: Eukaryota; Metazoa; Chordata; Mammalia; Carnivora; Mustelidae
Exons: 3
Source: RefSeq, a predicted model, not a curated record
AUUGCACACCAAAUAGACUAGAGUAUAAUGUAAAUUUUAACUUUUAUAUGUACUGGGAAACCAAAAAAUUCAUUUGACUUGCUUUAUUGCAAUAUGAACUUUAUUGUGGUGGUCUGGGACCAAACCCACAAAAUCUCUGAGGUAUGCCCCUAUGACUUUAAAUAUAUCAUUAAAAUGAAUU